RNAcentral lists this long non-coding RNA (275 nucleotides) under Pan troglodytes (chimpanzee). RNAcentral's name for it is "long non-coding RNA NONPTRT016943". The record is from RNAcentral. Lineage: Eukaryota; Metazoa; Chordata; Mammalia; Primates; Hominidae.
CUGGAGGACCCGGGCUACGGGGCUCCGGGGCGUCUGGCCUGGUUGGGACUGAGCCCAUCCAGGGACUGGGACUCUGGGAUUCUGUUGUAGGUGGAUCUGGGGCAGGCUCAGGACCAAGUCCCUCUCCUUCCACCAAGGAGCGCCCAGAGGCCGGCGGGAGCUCCAGGUUCACCUCCUCCUCCUCCAGGAAAUCCCACUUCCAACUGGAUGUCUGGAUGAACUACUGAAAGCUGCUGAGUGUCCUGCGGCAGGUGAGCUGUGGCCAGAGCCCAAGG